UUGCUCCUACGGGAGGCAGCAGUCGGGAAUAUUGCACAAUGGAGGAAACUCUGAUGCAGUGACACCGCGUAUAGGAAGAAGGUUUUCGGAUUGUAAACUAUUUUAGACAGGGAAGAAAAAAGUCAGUACCUGUAGAAUAAGCUCCGGCUAACUACGUGCCAGCAGCCGCGGUAAUACGUAGGGAGCAAGCGUUAUCCGGAUUUACUGGGUGUAAAGGGAGCGUAGGCGGCGAUGCAAGUCAGAAGUGAAAGCCCGGGGCUCAACUCCGGGACUGCUUUUGAAACUGUAUGGCUAGAUUGCAGGAG
RNAcentral lists this ribosomal RNA (305 nucleotides) under uncultured bacterium. Its description in RNAcentral is "bacterial SSU rRNA". It matches the Rfam family "Bacterial small subunit ribosomal RNA", at positions 333 to 654 of the family's 1533-position model. The record is from RNAcentral.